Molecule: non-coding RNA, 1224 nt
Organism: Chromobacterium amazonense
Lineage: Bacteria; Pseudomonadati; Pseudomonadota; Betaproteobacteria; Neisseriales; Chromobacteriaceae
Source: Rfam
GGUCAAGCGACUAAGUGCAUCUGGUGGAUGCCUUGGCGAUCACAGGCGAUGAAGGACGUGUAAGCCUGCGAAAAGCGCGGGGGAGCUGGCAAUAGAGCUUUGAUCCCGCGAUAUCCGAAUGGGGAAACCCGGCCCUUAGGGGUCAUCCCAGACUGAAUACAUAGGUCUGAGGAGGCGAACUCAGCGAACUGAAACAUCUAAGUAGCUGAAGGAAAAGAAAUCAACCGAGAUUCCGUAAGUAGUGGCGAGCGAACGCGGAACAGCCUGUAUGUGAUAGAGAUUGCGUUAGUGGAAGGUUAUGGAAAGGACCGCCAUAGUGGGUGAUAGCCCCGUACACGAAAACGCAUUCUUGGUACUAAGCAUACGAGAAGUAGGGCGGGACACGCGAAAUCCUGUCUGAAGAUGGGGGGACCAUCCUCCAAGGCUAAAUACUCGUGAUCGACCGAUAGUGAACCAGUACCGUGAGGGAAAGGCGAAAAGAACCCCGGGAGGGGAGUGAAAUAGAACCUGAAACCGGAUGCAUACAAACAGUGGGAGCGGACGUGUUCCGUGACUGCGUACCUUUUGUAUAAUGGGUCAGCGACUUACGUUCAGUAGCGAGCUUAACCGAAUAGGGGAGGCGUAGGGAAACCGAGUCCGAAUAGGGCGCUUUAGUUGCUGGGCGUAGACCCGAAACCGAGUGAUCUAUCCAUGGCCAGGAUGAAGGUGCGGUAACACGCACUGGAGGUCCGAACCCACUAGUGUUGCAAAACUAGGGGAUGAGCUGUGGAUAGGGGUGAAAGGCUAAACAAACUCGGAGAUAGCUGGUUCUCCCCGAAAACUAUUUAGGUAGUGCCUCAUGUAUCACUUCCGGGGGUAAAGCACUGUUAUGGCUAGGGGGUCAUUGCGAUUUACCAAACCAUGGCAAACUCUGAAUACCGGAAAGUGCGAGCAUGGGAGACAGACGGUGGGUGCUAACGUCCAUCGUCAAGAGGGAAACAACCCAGACCGCCAGCUAAGGUCCCAAAUGAUCAGUUAAGUGGUAAACGAAGUGGGAAGGCCUAGACAGCCAGGAUGUUGGCUUAGAAGCAGCCAUCAUUUAAAGAAAGCGUAAUAGCUCACUGGUCGAGUCGUCCUGCGCGGAAGAUGUAACGGGGCUCAAACUGAUAACCGAAGCUGCGGAUGCGUCGGCUUCACCUUAGCUUGUUGCAAGCUUGUCAUCGCGAAGCGAUGACAAAGCCCACC